AUGUAUCACUCGUACGCUCCGGUUCCUCCGCGCCGUCCGCACCUACCUGAUGACCGCUCGCUACGUGUUGGUCGCU
Molecule: small RNA, 76 nt
Filed under: Xanthomonas floridensis
Lineage: Bacteria; Pseudomonadati; Pseudomonadota; Gammaproteobacteria; Lysobacterales; Lysobacteraceae
Description: sX9 sRNA
Rfam family: Xanthomonas sRNA sX9
Source: RNAcentral